AGGACACCCCAGGCUGACUCAGGACACCGCUGGAUGACACAGUAUACCACUGACUGACUCAGGACACCCCAGAGUGACUCAGGACAACCCAGUCUGACACAGGACAUCCCAGGCUGACAAAGGAAAUCCCAGGGUGACACACAACACGGCAGGUUGACUCAGGACACCUCAGGCUGACAAAUAUACACCAGGAUGACACAGGACACACCAGGAUGACACAGGACACCCCAGGAUGACUCAGGACACCCCAGGCUGACUCAGGACUCCCAGGGACAACUCAGGAAUCCACAGGAUGACACAGGACACCACAGGAUGAAAUGCAUACCCCAGGAUAUCACAAGACACCCCAGACUGUUACAGGACACACCAGGCUGACCCGGGACACCCAGGGCUGUCACAGGAUACACUAGGAGGACACAUGAUACCCCGGAUGACUCAUGACAAUACAGGCUGACACUGGACACCCCAUGGUGACAGAGGACACUCCAGGAUUACUCAGGACACCCCAGGGUGACACUGGAGACCCAUGGAUGACACAGGACACACCAGGCUGACUCAGGACAUCCCAGAGUGACUCAGGACACCCCACGCUGACACAGGACACCCCAGGAUGACACAAUAUACUCCAGGAUGACUCAGGACACCCCAGGAUGACUCAGGAUAACCCAGGCUGACACAGGACACCCGAGGAUGACACAGGACACCCAGUCUUACACAGGAUACCCCAGGAUGAAUCAAGACUCCCCAGGAUGAAUCAGAACACUCCAGGAUGACACAGGAUACCCCAGCCUACUCAGGACACCCCAGCAUGACACAGGACACCCAAGGAUGACACGGGACACCCAAGGAAGACACAG
This 857-nucleotide long non-coding RNA is filed under the name Cricetulus griseus (Chinese hamster). RNAcentral describes it as "lncRNA (ENSCGRG00015041798.1)". The record is from RNAcentral. Lineage: Eukaryota; Metazoa; Chordata; Mammalia; Rodentia; Cricetidae.